GGGCGUAUAGCUCAUCGCUGGUAGAGCAUCGGUCUCUUAAACCGAGGGUGGCGAGUUCAAGCCUCGCUGCGCCCACCA
This 78-nucleotide transfer RNA is filed under the name Agrobacterium rubi. RNAcentral describes it as "tRNA-Lys". It matches the Rfam family "tRNA". From Rfam's summary of the family: Transfer RNA (tRNA) molecules are approximately 80 nucleotides in length. Their secondary structure includes four short double-helical elements and three loops (D, anti-codon, and T loops). The record is from RNAcentral. Lineage: Bacteria; Pseudomonadati; Pseudomonadota; Alphaproteobacteria; Hyphomicrobiales; Rhizobiaceae.